CCUACGGGAGGCAGCAGUGGGGAAUAUUGGACAAUGGGCGAAAGCCUGAUCCAGCCAUGCCGCGUGUGUGAAGAAGGCCUUCGGGUUGUAAAGCACUUUCAGUGGGGAAGAAAGCCUUGGGGCUAAUACCCUCGAGGAAGGACAUCACCCACAGAAGAAGCACCGGCUAACUCCGUGCCAGCAGCCGCGGUAAUACGGAGGGUGCGAGCGUUAAUCGGAAUUACUGGGCGUAAAGCGCGCGUAGGCGGUCUGAUAAGCCGGUUGUGAAAGCCCCGGGCUCAACCUGGGAACGGCAUCCGGAACUGUCAGGCUAGAGUGCAGGAGAGGAAGGUAGAAUUCCUGGUGUAGCGGUGAAAUGCGUAGAGAUCGGGAGGAAUACCAGUGGCGAAGGCGGCCUUCUGGACUGACACUGACGCUGAGGUGCGAAAGCGUGGGUAGCAAACAGGAUUAGAUACCCCGGUAGUC
RNAcentral lists this ribosomal RNA (465 nucleotides) under Vreelandella stevensii. RNAcentral describes it as "partial 16S ribosomal RNA". It matches the Rfam family "Bacterial small subunit ribosomal RNA", at positions 338 to 795 of the family's 1533-position model. Lineage: Bacteria; Pseudomonadati; Pseudomonadota; Gammaproteobacteria; Oceanospirillales; Halomonadaceae. The record is from RNAcentral.